This 433-nucleotide ribosomal RNA is filed under the name uncultured bacterium. Its description in RNAcentral is "partial 16S ribosomal RNA". It matches the Rfam family "Bacterial small subunit ribosomal RNA", at positions 29 to 507 of the family's 1533-position model. The record is from RNAcentral.
AACGAACGCUGGCGGCAUGCCUAACACAUGCAAGUCGAACGAGACCUUCGGGUCUAGUGGCGCACGGGUGCGUAACGCGUGGGAACCUGCCCUUAGGUUCGGAAUAACUCCCCGAAAGGGGUGCUAAUACCGGAUAAUGUCUUCGGACCAAAGAUUUAUCGCCUUUGGAUGGGCCCGCGUUGGAUUAGCUAGUUGGUAGGGUAAAAGCCUACCAGGGCGACGAUCCAUAGCUGGUCUGAGAGGAUGAUCAGCCACACUGGGACUGAGACACGGCCCAGACUCCUACGGGAGGCAGCAGUGGGGAAUAUUGGACAAUGGGCGAAAGCCUGAUCCAGCAAUGCCGCGUGAGUGACGAAGGCCUUAGGGUUGUAAAGCUCUUUUACCCGGGAUGAUAAUGACAGUACCGGGAGAAUAAGCUCCGGCUAACUCCGUG